RNAcentral lists this ribosomal RNA (393 nucleotides) under uncultured bacterium. RNAcentral's name for it is "partial 16S ribosomal RNA". It matches the Rfam family "Bacterial small subunit ribosomal RNA", at positions 523 to 918 of the family's 1533-position model. The record is from RNAcentral.
AUACGGAGGAUGCGAGCGUUAUCCGGAUUUAUUGGGUUUAAAGGGUGCGUAGGCGGUUUUUUAAGUCAGCGGUGAAACGCAAGGGCUCAACCCUUGACCUGCCGUUGAAACUGGAGGACUUGAAUGCGGAUGCUGUGGGAGGAAUGUGUGGUGUAGCGGUGAAAUGCAUAGAUAUCACACAGAACACCGAUUGCGAAGGCAUCUCACAAAUCCGUGAUUGACGCUGAGGCACGAAAGUGUGGGGAUCAAACAGGAUUAGAUACCCUGGUAGUCCACACUGUAAACGAUGAUGACUCGCUGUCGGCGAUAUACAGUCGGUGGCCAAGCGAAAGCGAUAAGUCAUCCACCUGGGGAGUACGACCGCAAGGUUGAAACUCAAAUGAAUUGGCGGGG